GACGAACGCUGGCGGCGUGCCUAAUACAUGCAAGUCGAACGAGAGCGACCGGUGCUUGCACUGGUCAAUCUAGUGGCGAACGUGUGAGUAACACGUGGGUAACCUGCCCAUCAUAGGGGUAUAACAUCCGGAAACGGGUGCUAAAACCGCAUAGGUCUUCGAGCCGCAUGGCUUGAAGAGGAAAAGAGGCGCAAGCUUCUGCUGUCGGGUCGACCCGGGGUGCAUUAGCUGGUUGGUGGGGUAACGGCUCACCAAGGCCGUGAUCCGUAGCCGACCUGAGAGGGUGAUCGGCCACAUUGGGACUGAGACGCGGCCAAAGCUCCUACGAGAGGCAGCAGUAGCGAAUCUGCCGCAGUAGUCGCGAGUCUGACGGAGCGACGCCGCGUGAGUUAAGAAGGUUUUCGGAUCGUGAAACUCUGUUGUUAGAGAAGAACCGCUGCCAGCGUAACUGUUAGCGCCUUGACGGUAUCUAAUCAGGAAGCCACGGCUAACUACGUG
RNAcentral lists this ribosomal RNA (498 nucleotides) under uncultured bacterium. RNAcentral describes it as "partial 16S ribosomal RNA". It matches the Rfam family "Bacterial small subunit ribosomal RNA", at positions 28 to 507 of the family's 1533-position model. The record is from RNAcentral.